Molecule: transfer RNA, 58 nt
Filed under: Orthocis pygmaeus
Lineage: Eukaryota; Metazoa; Arthropoda; Insecta; Coleoptera; Ciidae
Description: tRNA-Ser
Source: RNAcentral
GAAAUAUUAAAAGUAAGCUUCUAACUUGCAAUAUUAGCAUUAAAUUGUUUAUAUUUCU